Molecule: ribosomal RNA, 605 nt
Filed under: uncultured bacterium
Lineage: Bacteria
Description: bacterial SSU rRNA
Rfam family: Bacterial small subunit ribosomal RNA
Source: RNAcentral
GAUUCUCAAAGGAAUUGACGGGGGCCCGCACAAGCAGUGGAGUAUGUGGUUUAAUUCGAAGCAACGCGAAGAACCUUACCAGGUCUUGACAUCCAACGACCGCCUAAGAGAUUAGGCUUUCUUUCGGGACGUUGAGACAGGUGGUGCAUGGUUGUCGUCAGCUCGUGUCGUGAGAUGUUGGGUUAAGUCCCGCAACGAGCGCAACCCUUAUUACUAGUUACUACGCAAGAGGACUCUAGUGAGACUGCCGUUGACAAAACGGAGGAAGGUGGGGAUGACGUCAAAUCAUCAUGCCCUUUAUGACCUGGGCUACACACGUACUACAAUGGCUAUUAACAGAGAGAAGCAAGACCGCAAGGUGGAGCAAACCUCAGAAAAAUAGUCUCAGUUCGGAUUGGGGGCUGCAACCCGCCCCCAUGAAGCCGGAAUUGCUAGUAAUCGCGGAUCAGCAUGCCGCGGUGAAUACGUUCCCGGGCCUUGUACACACCACCCGUCACACCAUGAGAGCCGGGGGGACCCGAAGUCGGUAGUCUAACCGCAAGGAGGACGCCGCCGAAGGUAAAACUGGUGAUUGGGGUGAAGUCGUAACAAGGUAGCCGUAUCGG